This 495-nucleotide ribosomal RNA is filed under the name uncultured bacterium. RNAcentral describes it as "partial 16S ribosomal RNA". It matches the Rfam family "Bacterial small subunit ribosomal RNA", at positions 28 to 507 of the family's 1533-position model. The record is from RNAcentral.
GAUGAACGCUGGCGGCGUGCCUAAUACAUGCAAGUAGAACGCUGAAGGAGGAGCUUGCUCUUCUGGAUGAGUUGCGAACGGGUGAGUAACGCGUAGGUAACCUGCCUGGUAGCGGGGGAUAACUAUUGGAAACGAUAGCUAAUACCGCAUGACAACAGUUAUUGCAUGAUAACUGUUUAAAAGGGGCAACUGCUCCACUACCAGAUGGACCUGCGUUGUAUUAGCUAGUUGGUGAGGUAACGGCUCACCAAGGCGACGAUACAUAGCCGACCUGAGAGGGUGAUCGGCCACACUGGGACUGAGACACGGCCCAGACUCCUACGGGAGGCAGCAGUAGGGAAACUUCGGCAAUAGACGGAAGUCUGACCGGGCAACGCCGCGUGAGUGAAGAAGGUUUUCGGAUCGUAAAGCUCUGUUGUAAGAGAAGAACGAGUGUGGGAGUGGAAAGUUCACACUGUGACGGUAUCUUACCAGAAAGGGACGGCUAACUACGUG